Long non-coding RNA from Girardinichthys multiradiatus, 6313 nucleotides. RefSeq lists it as uncharacterized. NCBI's taxonomy places the organism in Eukaryota, Metazoa, Chordata, Actinopteri, Cyprinodontiformes, Goodeidae. The record is from RefSeq and is a predicted model, not a curated record. The transcript is spliced from 5 exons.
UAUUCAAAAUCUGUGGGCCUGUGUGUUUUGAAUGUUUGAGGAGAACAAGAUAUUUUUCAUGCCAGCUGUCUGCUCGUGUUUUCCCUAAAGCUACGGCAGCGAAACAACAAACCCGAGGCCUGCAAAGAGGCUGUCUGCCAGUAGUGCGACGAGACCGCUCCAAAGCCAGGCAUUUGUGUUCAUUAGCACCCGGAUCAACAGACUAUCUGGGCUGUUUGGAGAUCAAGAUCAAAUGUAAUUACCUCCUGGCACAAGGACCCCAAUUUUCGACGUGUUUGGAGUAUUUUAUUCAAUAAAGCAGCCUAAUUAGAGUUCUACUUUUUUGUUCAUUUUGUUUUCUUUUUCUGCCUUUGUCAUUACAUUUGCACAAGAACCUGAUAGUUCCAAUAUGAACCGUGACCUAGAAAAAUAGUACUUUACGCAUUCUUUCUUUUUUUUUUUUUUUUCACCUGUGAAAAACAAGUAACUGCUCUAAAUGAAAUUCAAAUACAUUUUGUUAGUUGUUUUUUAAUCUCUGCAAAUGUUACUUUCACUUUAGCCUUAAAAAAUAUUUUUUAUCAAUUAUUUUUAAUUGACAAAACCAGUGGUAACGUGUGAACGUUUUAAAUUCUAGUGAGGAUACAAAUAAUUGUGUCCCAUAUGCAAGAAAAGAAAUAUAUAUAUUUAAAUUUUUCUUUAUUAUCCCAAAAUGAAAUAAAUAAAGAAAACUACACAGCAACUGUAAGUGAUACAAACUAUAAUAUAAUAAUAAUAAUAGUAAAAAUAGCAACAAGCCUUCACACGUCGACAUGAGGUUGAAUUACACUGUAGCCAAACAAAUUGGCUGACCCACACAGAAAACGCUGUAUAAAACAAAGUUCAUUCAUGCAAGAAUAAAGUAAACACGAUUCAUGAAUCAAUGCACCAUCAAUAAACAAAUGUCAAACAAUAAACACGCUUCACGCCUGACAGUAAAAACUGCUCAUGUUCGCAAAAAAAAAAAGGAAACACGAAUACAUGAUUUUUUUCCGUGUGACUUGGGCAGCAGUCCCCUCAGAAACAGCAGCAGCAGCAACAGCAGUAUAUGGGCGCUUUCGGGACACAUUAUUGAUUGGCAUUCCCAGGAGAAAGAACCAGUCAGCAGCAGCAGCAGCAGCCCCGGUGGCCCAGGCAUAAAAAAGGGAAAUAUCUUCAGCGAUUUCAAAUAAGCGUGCAUUUCAAAUCUCGCUUGCUUUCUUUCUCGCUCAUAUUCGCAUCUCGGCGUCCCCCAGGUUGUUUUGCAGGGGCAAAAAGAGUGCGUCCAGAGCGGCGUGAGCUGUACAAGCAGCUCGCAGCAGAGUGGUGCUACAGCGCCCACUACAUUUCAUUUACACCAGACUUGGAACGACUCUAUAUAAAAAGUUACUAUGCGAUUCAACAACUUUCUUUGAGAAAAAAAGGAAAGAUUUGCGCCUGUGUAGAACCGACCGACAACAGAACUGGGUUGAAAUAGGGGAGAAAAUAAGAUCUGACCGACAGUGUUUAUAACAGCUUUUAAAGAAGUGUGAUCAACUAAAAAGCACCGGCGGCGUUUCUCAUCACGCGUGAAACUUUGUGGACGCAGAGAUCAGCGAAACCAGGAGCGCAGCAGGCUGAGAGACAAGACCGAGCAGCCAAAAACUGAGAGGAAAAGUUAUCUGCGGACAAAAGAGUCUCCCGUGCUCUUUUUAGGGCUGUUUUGCAAUUGACAAGGACAUAUUGGACCGGGACAAAGCCGGGGGAGUUUGGAAGCCGGCGGCUGGAAGAACUAAGAAAUAGGACGUCAAUUAAAAAAAAAAAAAAAAAAAAAAAAACAACAGACAAACAGAAGAAGACCUACUUUUUGCCAGUUUUCUCGCCCUCGCCUUGGAUCUCAUCUUGUCGGCUUGUAGAUUCCUUUCGUCGUCCUCCGUGAGCCCAGAAGCAGCAACAACACUAUCUUCAUCUCACCAGCAUUAUCACUUAUCUCUUCCCCUCCUCCUCCUCCUCUUCCUCCUCCUCCUGCUCACUCUUCACCAUUUCCCCCCACCGCCACCCCCAUGCCACCCCCUUCACUCUCUUUCCACUUCUCACCCAUGCACCCCCCUGCCCCAUCCGUCCCAUUCAGCUCCUGCCAGCGCCGUCCUGGAUUUUUACCCCUUUAAACAGAGGCUGCUUGGUUUUCUGCAGCGCAGCGGCGGGACGCACUGAGAUUUAAAGAAACUCGCCGGCUCAGCUGAUGCGUCAUGUCAGAGCUUGCGCCAAAAAGCGCACAGAUUCCAGGCGUUUUUUUUACUUCAUUAUCGCACAUGUGGACGAUAAAAGGAGUUGGGCUCGGUUGCUCUAACAACUUUACAGGUGUGUGUAAACCGUGUUGCUCUCAGGACAAGCAGGAGCCAGCAGCUGUUUGAAGGAGGCAUGGACCCUCCACCAGCACCAGGAAAAAGUCCUGACUUUCUCAUUUUUGCACAGCUUUUUCCCAUUUGUUACAAUUGUAUUUGAAUCACUUGUUUUCUUGCAGUACUGUUGGCGCAUGUUGUGAGAGCGCGGAGGCGCACCUGGAAGACGGUGGACAGGCUGCAGCCUCAGCUUUGCUCAACUGCGACUUUUAACUUGCACCUGUUUGUUGCUUUGUUUGUUUGUUUACUACAGGCAGAAGGAGCUAAUUUUUUAGUUGGUCUGCGGGUUUCUGAGUGAUAGAUUGAAGAUCAACAAGGCUGCUCGUCAUGUGGUGCCGGGCCUCCUGCCCACAUGUCAUAUGGGAAUGGUUUCCGUCUAGUUUGGCUGAAUAAAGGCGGCUCUAUAUGCUGGAGCCUAUUAAGGAUCGGUGGUGACGGAGCAACUGCAGUCUGAUGGGACAGCGGUGCGGAUCAGUUUGCUUGGAGGAAAAACAACUCAUACCUCGUUUUGAUCGAAUUCAUAAUCAUUCAAACUAUUUUUUUUUUCAUUAUUAUUAAUAAUAAUAAUAAGGCGGUAGUACAAUUUAUUUGUUUAUUUAUGUAUACCUGCUUCUUUAUAAUUACGAUGCCCAUCAUGAAAUAACUGAUUUGAAUAAAUGUCUCCAGCUUCAAUCUCCCGUUACUGGACAACAAUCGCCGUUGGAUGUUUUCUUGUGAGUUGAAGUGAAACGAAAGCCCGAUUGUUAAUCAAUAAUAAUCAGCAGUAAUUAGCCUGUAUUUGAUGGAUAUUUGGAAAGAUGGUCUUGCAUCCCUAUAAGGAGGAUGAGGAGGAGGAGUGGUGAGGGUGGGGGUAUUUUAUUGACUUGGCGGAGGGAGGCGGCUGAAAAAAACGUUUUUACCUGUUGUGCGGACGGGGUACAGUACAGGGGUGACCAGCUUGUUAUUUUGAAUAAUUUAUUUGUCAACCUUCGUGUGAAUAGGGAUCAUUAAUUCUGUUUAAAGACAAAAUGGCUGCGCAGAUAAAAAGGCUCAGGACUGCUAGUCGAUAGACAGUUAAUAAAUGAAGCUAGAUUAAUAACAUUGGUCUGCAAAGGUUUUGUUUGUUCCUUUCUGUGUCUAGAAGCGUGGCGACAAGCUAUCAAUAAACCCAUUAAAUGACUGACUUUAUUAGUACCUUAAAAGAAAAGAGAGAGAAAUGGGCAUUAAAUAGAACUUUUUUUUUCCUGUUUGAAUUAUUUCCAUCAACCGGCCUGAUACCGCUGAGGCCUCUAAAUAUUUCCUGAACCUCAUUGGUUGUGGCAAAUGAUUCCGCACGCUGCAACACCUUUUUACAGGCGUAAUUAACCGCAAUUAGACUAUGCAAAGGAAAGUCUUGCUAUCCGACGCUGGCCUACAGGGGAAUUAGCUAUAGUAUUCCUAAAUGCCGACCUUUAGAAAGGAGAUUUGGUGAGGCUGCAUAGAGAAAACCUCUUGUUUUGUCUUGGAGUCCGGAAUGAACUGCGCCGCUGGCUCCUUCCCAGAAAGAGAGAUGGAGAGGUGCGCGCUUCUUCUGCGCAGGGCCCCCACUUAUUGUUAUUAAGCCCUUUAAUUAGACUAAACAGGAGCAGACCAAAUUCAUUAUCACCUGAAAGGGAUAACAUGCAGAAGAAAGCAAUAGUCGGACGUAAAUGUGUAGUUGAUUCCAGAUUUAACAUUUGUUUGGUUGUUUUACCUGCUGUCAGUGGCGCCACCAAGGGGGGACUGGGGGUGGUCAGUUUUGUGCAAGUGUUUUAUAUAAUUAUUAAGUUGACUGAGGAUAAUUUAUUUUGUAUGUAACUUUUGCCCUGCUUUACCUGUGACGUUUGAUCGUCCAACCCCAACAGCCGGUGAGAUUAUCAGUGGCCCCCGUUGAGGCCAGCCUUUUGAUACAUUUUUGGAGGUGCCCCUGCACCGUUGGUUUAAUCACCUUUAAGCAUUGUUUGGAGCUUGUGUCAAUAUGUUGUCCCGGAGGGUACUAUUAUUGGUCCUUUAAAAACAUCUCUCGAGUCUUUUAGACUGUAAAGGACACAUUUACAUUAAUACUUUUCAGUUCCUAAAUGAUUUUGAUCAAGCAAAUAUGUUCUUAGCUGAAUAGAAAGACUUAUAUUUUCGAAGAACAGAAAAUAGGGUUGUGCAUCAUGUUGCAUCAGUGUCGUAGUUCUAGCUUCCAUGUUGUCUUUGGCUGUUUACUAAAUAAAUAAGGGGUAGGCCACCAAUGGCAUAACCAGGAGUAUGUAAAUUGCUCUAAAAGUUAAGGUAUAAUCUAAAUAAAACUAUUUGUUCAUGAUUUCAAGAACAAUACCUAAAAUCAGCUAGUUCUAUAUGUUAGAAAAUAUUUUUUUCUUUUUCACUUGAGGUAUUGUCUGUUGAUUUUAAAAUAUGGUAGCUCUCAUGAAGUGAUGGUAUCAUUUGGCGAGUAAUAUCUGAAAAACAGUACACAAAAAAGGAGGCACAUUAAGUUAAAUAAACAAAUGGAAAACAUGUCUAGGGGUGGCUAGUGCCCUUACCGGGUUCCCUUUUGAGUCACCACUGCUUAGUCACCCUUACAAAAAAAGUAUUAACAAAAAUAUGCAGAAAAAAACAGUACUGUGAAGAACAACCAAAUGAUAAUUAAAUGAAUCAACAAAUAAUAUAAUUGGUGCUAUGAGAUGGUUUUUUUUUCUCUUCAAAAUCCACAAGAAAUAUUAUGUAUAAAUAAGACGCCACGAAGUCAUAGGGGUGGCCCAACAGCCAACAUAUUUUACAGGAAAUUCCACAGUUCUACUAUGAAUAUGGAUAGAAACACAACACACAGUGACCGUUUAUUUAUUUAUUUUACAGAUGAGGAUGAAGUAAAAAUGCUGACUUCAAAACCUAAUACCUUUUAAUCUUUAUGUGUGUGCACUGCUGGUUGCUGAGGCGGUGCUAAAGGAGUUUCUGACACUGUGAACCGGUGUGGUCGGACUGUGGUGACUCUACCUCCCUCUUCUCCACCACACACACAAACAUAUGCCCAAAGGUCGCUGAAACACAAGCUUUAUCCGCGAUGGAGAGGGCUCUGGGUCUGUGGAUUAGACGUUGUGCACAGAUAGCAUCAGCGCAUAUCAGAAAUGUGAAAUGGAGCACCUCGAGUUGCGCCGCGGGGAAACAUCAAAAAGGCGCAGCGGGCCUUUCUUGUGGGCACGUUGAGCAUUGUAAAUUUGCUAACUGUAGUUCUGACCCACUUGAUGAAACGGGGGAGUAAACACAGUCACUAUAGCUGGAAGAAGGCGCUUGGACUAAAAAUAUAAUGCCAUCGGCUGCAGAAUCACCUACCUCAGCCGCCUAAUACAUGACAAAAAAGUGAUGUUUUUGUCAAAGAUUGAUCAACAGAAAUUCAUCAGAUUCCAGCAGCUCAUCAAUCACAAAAUCCAUUUUUCCCCAAAGUCUCAGGAGGAGCCUUUUGCAGCGGGCCGCUGCCUCCUUCUCCUUUAAUGAAGCAGCGCCAAGGAGCGGUCACGAUGAAGUCGCCCUGGUAAUUAUUACACAUUAAUUGGGUUCAGGACCUUGUGAGUCUAUGGGAAAUGGGAAAUCUGACCGCUAAUCCAAGACAUUUCUUUAGGGCCUUUUUGCAGUGCUGUUAACAUGCUGUCAGAAGCUGCAGCUCUGCAGCUACCGAGAGCAGGGAAAUGUGGGGGUCACAGGGGAGCCAGUGUACAGACACCGAAACUGCAGGCUUGAGAUUCAGGAACGUUUCCACCAAAGCGUUUUACACCUGAGAGUGCAUGGGUCAGAUAUCUCAUGUGUCUUGAUGAUUCAUGAAAAAAUAGAUAAGUAGAAUUAAUUGUGUAGAAAAGGAAUUUAUGUAAAUGACGAAGAAUGUAUACCAAAAGGCAUCAAUUCAAUCAGGAUGCAACCAGAAAUAUGAUCCAGUUUGUUUUUUAAUAAAAAUUUAAAAAACA